AUUGAACGCUGGCGGCAUGCCUUACACAUGCAAGUCGAACGGUAACGGGCCUUCGGGUGCCGACGAGUGGCGAACGGGUGAGUAAUGUAUCGGAACGUACCUUUCAGUGGGGGAUAACGUAGCGAAAGUUACGCUAAUACCGCAUAUUCUGUGAGCAGGAAAGCAGGGGAUCGCAAGACCUUGCGCUGAUUGAGCGGCCGAUAUCAGAUUAGCUAGUUGGUGAGGUAAAGGCUCACCAAGGCGACGAUCUGUAGCGGGUCUGAGAGGAUGAUCCGCCACACUGGAACUGAGACACGGUCCAGACUCCUACGGGAGGCAGCAGUGGGGAAUUUUGGACAAUGGGGGCAACCCUGAUCCAGCCAUGCCGCGUGAGUGAAGAAGGCCUUGGUGUAAAGCUCUUUCGGCCGGAGAAACGUAUGGGUUAAUAACCCUGUGCGGAUGACGGUACGGGCCAUAAGAAGACACCGGCUAACUAACGUGCCAGCAGCA
This 489-nucleotide ribosomal RNA is filed under the name uncultured bacterium. RNAcentral describes it as "bacterial SSU rRNA". It matches the Rfam family "Bacterial small subunit ribosomal RNA", at positions 30 to 516 of the family's 1533-position model. The record is from RNAcentral.